RNAcentral lists this ribosomal RNA (431 nucleotides) under uncultured bacterium. RNAcentral describes it as "bacterial SSU rRNA". It matches the Rfam family "Bacterial small subunit ribosomal RNA", at positions 340 to 786 of the family's 1533-position model. The record is from RNAcentral.
UACGGGAGGCAGCAGUGGGGAAUAUUGGACAAUGGGCGAAAGCCUGAUCCAGCCAUGCCGCAUGAGUGAAGAAGGCCUUCGGGUUGUAAAGCUCUUUUAGUGAGAAAGAUAAUGACGGUACUCACAGAAGAAGUCCUGGCUAACUCCGUGCCAGCAGCCGCGGUAAUACGGAGGGUGCGAGCGUUAAUCGGAAUUACUGGGCGUAAAGGGCACGCAGGCGGUUAAUUAAGUUGGAUGUGAAAUCCCCGGGCUUAACCUGGGAAUGGCAUUCAAGACUGGUUAGCUAGAGUCUUGUAGAGGGGGGUAGAAUUCCGAUGUGUAGCGGUGAAAUGCGUAGAGAUGUGGAGGAAUACCGGUGGCGAAGGCGGCCCCUGGACAAAGACUGACGCUCAUGUGCGAAAGCUGGGGAGCGAAAACAGGGAUUAGAUACC